Molecule: non-coding RNA, 83 nt
Organism: Taenia asiatica
Lineage: Eukaryota; Metazoa; Platyhelminthes; Cestoda; Cyclophyllidea; Taeniidae
Source: Rfam
AUCAGGAUGUUCGAGUGGUUAAGGUGGUAGGCUCAAAAUCCACUGGAGGAAUCUCCACGUGGGUUCGAACCCCACUUCUGACA